UCUCCUGCCGGAGCGCGACGCUCUCCCCCAGGACGAAGCCAUGCAUGCCCGCUCACCCGGGACGCGGCGGACGGCUCAGGACAACGGUUGCACCCCCGCGGCGGUCCCUGCUAGCCGGACACCGCACCCGGCGCCAAGACGUGCGCGCAGCCCGCGGGCGAGCAGCGUGACGCAGCGACGGCCCGCCGGGCUUCCGGGGCAUCACCGGUCGGCGCGGUCGCGGCGCCGAGGGCCCGCCUGGCGGAGAAU
This 249-nucleotide ribosomal RNA is filed under the name Giardia duodenalis. RNAcentral describes it as "Giardia intestinalis partial small subunit ribosomal RNA". Lineage: Eukaryota; Fornicata; Diplomonadida; Hexamitidae. The record is from RNAcentral.